Molecule: ribosomal RNA, 274 nt
Filed under: uncultured bacterium
Lineage: Bacteria
Description: partial 16S ribosomal RNA
Rfam family: Bacterial small subunit ribosomal RNA
Source: RNAcentral
AUACGGAGGGAGCGAGCGUUAAUCGGAAUUACUGGGCGUAAAGCGCGCGUAGGCGGCUUUGUAAGUCGGAUGUGAAGGCCCUGGGCUCAACCUGGGAAUUGCAUUCGAUACUGCAGAGCUAGAGUAUGGUAGAGGGAAGUGGAAUUUCCGGUGUAGCGGUGAAAUGCGUAGAUAUCGGAAGGAACACCAGUGGCGAAGGCGACUUCCUGGGCCAAUACUGACGCUGAGGUGCGAAAGCGUGGGGAGCAAACAGGAUUAGAAACCCCAGUAGUCC